This 446-nucleotide ribosomal RNA is filed under the name uncultured bacterium. RNAcentral's name for it is "bacterial SSU rRNA". It matches the Rfam family "Bacterial small subunit ribosomal RNA", at positions 330 to 793 of the family's 1533-position model. The record is from RNAcentral.
CCCAGACUCCUACGGGAGGCAGCAGUGGGGAAUAUUGCACAAUGGGGGAAACCCUGAUGCAGCGACGCCGCGUGAGUGAAGAAGUAUUUCGGUAUGUAAAGCUCUAUCAGCAGGGAAGAUAAUGACGGUACCUGAGUAAGAAGCCCCGGCUAACUACGUGCCAGCAGCCGCGGUAAUACGUAGGGGGCAAGCGUUAUCCGGAUUUACUGGGUGUAAAGGGAGCGUAGACGGCAUGGCAAGUCUGAAGUGAAAGCCCGGGGCUCAACCGCGGGACUGCUUUGGAAACUGUUAAGCUGGAGUGCAGGGGAGGUAAGUGGAAUUCCUAGUGUAGCGGUGAAAUGCGUAGAUAUUAGGAGGAACACCAGUGGCGAAGGCGGCUUACUGGACUGUAACUGACGUUGAGGCUCGAAAGCGUGGGGAGCAAACAGGAUUAGAUACCCUGGUAC